AAAAUGAUUUGGCGAAACCUUAUCUCCUGGCUCCUGCCCGUCCCGCACUGAUGGCAGCUCUGCCAUCCCCAUGGCCUCCCUCUUCGCCACGCGCUCCCUGCCCGCUCACCAGCGGCGCCACCUCCUCUUCACUUCAUCCUCCUCGCCUCCCAUCACCUCCCGCAGGUCUCUCGUUCCUCCACCGCCAUGCCGCGGCCGCGCCCGCGAGUUGCUCAACGUAAUGCCCCAGAGAGACGACGGCAGGUCUCCAAUCCCAAGAACGGAGGAACGCAGAGCAGGCUCGGCCAGAGUACGGCAUGGCUCAAACGGAGGAACUGUUCGAGGAGACACCACGACCCGGGAGGCAGGCCCGCCGGUACAGCGGGAAAGCAGCCGUGGCGUGCCAAGGCCGUGGAAGAAAGGGGACAGGGUUUUCGUAGAAGAACGUACGGACUGGGUCUCCCAUGAGAAGAAUUGGAGGAGAGGCCCGAUGGCGACUGGGGAGCAAGAAUGGCGAAGGGAUGCGAAACGCUUGACAAGAGGCAGAAAUGGAAUGUGGGCAAAAGAAUCAGAAAAUGCUGGAAACUCAAGAGAUGUGGGUAGCGGAAGAAGAAACAUGACCAAGAAAAAGAAGAGAUCAAAGGGUCGUGAGCUGGGAGGCAAGCUGAGAGUUGAGCUGGACAUGUGCUCGAAGAGAGGAGAUGUGAUGGGAGCAAUCUCACUGUAUGACUCUGCAGUUGAGGAUGGGAUCAGAUUGGGCCAGCACCACUACAAUGUGCUCCUUUACCUGUGUUCUUCUGCUGCUCUUGGUUUUGUCCAACCAGCAAAGAGUGGCAAUACCGGUAGUGGCAUCACUAGUAUCGGUCCUGCACAGAAACUUGAUUCAUCACCCAACAGAAGCUUGAGAGGUUCAGAGGAGGAGGAUGCAUCUGAAAGUCAUGUUCAAGAUGAGGAGAAAGACAAGGCUGAUCUGUUGCCUUCAGAUGAUUUAAAUGUGCAAACAGCUGUCAUACCAGUAGGAGAUGAGCUCAGAGAGUAUGCACGCGCACGAGGGUUUGAGAUAUUUGAGAAGAUGUGCGAAGAGAGAGAGAGAAUUCAAAUGAGUGAGGCUGCUCUGACUGCAAAGGCACGUAUGGCUUUGUCAAUUGGCAAUGGUGACAUGGCUUUUGAGAUUGUCAAACAAAUGAAAGACCUUGGUAUUACGCCGAAGCUGCGGUCAUAUGGUCCUGCUUUGACAGCAUUUUGCAAUACCGGUAAUGUUGAAAAAGCAUUUGAAGUGGAAGCCCAUAUGUUGGAAUCUGGAAUCACACCAGAAGAAGCUGAGUUGGAGAUGCUUCUCAGGGUUAGUGUGGUUGGCCGACGCGGAGACAAGGUGUAUUAUUUGCUGCAUAAGUUUAGGGCUGCUGUCAGACAGGUAUCUCCUUCCGCAGCUCAAUUAUUUGAGGCUUGGUUUAGUAGCCCAACAGCAUCUAAAGUUGGGAAGAGAAAGUGGGAUGCAGGUGCUAUAGCAAAGGCUAUUGAGAAUAAUGGAGGGGGUUGGCACGGGUUUGGUUGGCUAGGGAGAGGAAAAUGGAUUGUAACACGCUCGAACAUCAACAAGAAUGGUGUCUGCCUUGCUUGCAGAGAGAAGCUGACGAUUAUAGAUCUUGACCCAAAAGAAACGGAACAGUUUGCCACAUUUGUGGAAAAAUUAGCUAUCAAGAGAGAGAAGAACUCGAAUUUUGAGAAAUUCCAGAGAUGGCUUGAAAAGCAUGGACCUUUUGAAGCAGUCGUGGAUGCCGCCAAUGUUGGCCUUUUUAGCCAUAAACAUAUUUCCUUGAGUGAGGUUAAUGCUGUUGCUGAUGCUAUAAGGCAAAGUUUUACGUCAAGAAAGUGGCCUUUGAUAAUUUUACAUAACAGGCAUCUCACUGGAGAACGUAUGAAGAAACCUGGUAAUCACAAAUUGGUAGAGAAAUGGAAGCAAACAAAUUCUAUCUAUGCAACCCCUAAUGGCUCAAAUGAUGAUUGGUACUGGCUAUAUGCUUCUAUCAGAUGCAAAUGCUUGAUCAUUACCAAUGAUGAAAUGAGAGAUCACACGUUUCAGAUAUUGAAAAAGGAUUUCUUCCCCAAAUGGAAGGAAAGGCAUCAGGUACGCUUCAGUUAUGAAGACAGCUCCAUCACAUUUCAAAUGCCACCUCCAUACUCAGUUGUAAUUCAGGAAUCUGAGAAAGGCCAUCUGCAUAUCCCUGUCUCAGAGGAAGGAUUGCUAGAGGAGGACCGAACCUGGCUAUGUGUUACGCGGCGCAAUUCCCAGGCACAAUAAUCAUGAAGAUGGAGUUGAUCCAGAACUUUGAUGUGAAUAAAUUUGAACACAGAUUAACAUCCUUGUAAAGCUAAAUGUUGAUCAUCUUUUUAUGAUCAGUCAGGAUCUCUGUCAAAAUCUUAAUAAAAAAAAAGAAACAGGAUCUCUGCUAAAGGCAGAGGAUUUCCCUCUCUACAUUUUUCCUCUGGCCCAGGUGAGGAGAGGCUUCCUUACAGGAUCAGAAAAUUUGUUGUUGAGAUAGUGUUGCAUACUGACAUUGCUUCCAUUGGUGAAGUUUUACAUCCUUAUGACAUCAUGGAAAAAGAACAGACCUUGGGAGAUUUAGUUAUUAUAUGCUAUUGUAUCCUCUUGUUGCCCCUUCCUCUUCAUCCGAUUAUGCGUGGUGAAAUCCAACAUGUUCUGGUUGUUAGAUAAUCUUGCACGUUCUCA
RNA transcript from Panicum virgatum (switchgrass), 2710 nucleotides. It is a transcript of the gene named proteinaceous RNase P 1, chloroplastic/mitochondrial-like, with no coding region annotated. The transcript has 7 exons. The record is from RefSeq and is a predicted model, not a curated record. Lineage: Eukaryota; Viridiplantae; Streptophyta; Magnoliopsida; Poales; Poaceae.